RNAcentral lists this transfer RNA (78 nucleotides) under Ureaplasma urealyticum serovar 13 str. ATCC 33698. Its description in RNAcentral is "tRNA-Lys". It matches the Rfam family "tRNA". Rfam says of the family: Transfer RNA (tRNA) molecules are approximately 80 nucleotides in length. Lineage: Bacteria; Bacillati; Mycoplasmatota; Mycoplasmoidales; Mycoplasmoidaceae. The record is from RNAcentral. RNAcentral also lists the same sequence under 9 other names.
UGCUCUGUUAGCUCAGUCGGUAGAGCAACUGACUCUUAAUCAGUGGGUCGCGGGUUCGAACCCCUCACAGAGCACCAG